RNAcentral lists this long non-coding RNA (2055 nucleotides) under Citrus x clementina. RNAcentral describes it as "Citrus clementina (C. clementina) long non-coding RNA (CCLE_LNC000966)". Lineage: Eukaryota; Viridiplantae; Streptophyta; Magnoliopsida; Sapindales; Rutaceae. The record is from RNAcentral.
AAAAACAAAAAAUAUAUAUAUUAGUUUUUGUAAAAGCUCACGUAUUUAUCUUUUGCACACUUAGUAGUUUUCCAUACCAUUUUUGAUAAUUUUCAGCACUAGAUGAGCUUUUCAAUGUUCAAACUUCUCCAAUCUUAAACGUUAUUUGAUGAAGUGCUAAAAGAUAAAUGCAUUGGCAAUUGCAAAUGAAGUCAAUGAUAAGAUUCAUGCAGCUAUUGAUUAAAAUAUCAUUAAAAAAAGAAGUACCUACCACUAGAAGUUCUGAAAAAAAAUGUUACCAUUGGUAAACUAGUUAAUAAUGCUAAAACUAGCACAAAAUAAAGAAACCAAUAAACAAAGGCAAAUGGAUUAUGUUUGGCUUUGUAGUUUUGAACACUUGAAGUUAACUUCUCCCCAUCAGCAAAUAAACAGUCGUUGAUCAAAGUUGCAUCAUCAUUGCUGCAGUUUUAAGUAAAUAAGUUCUCAAUUAAAAUUGUGUGUAAAUGAAUUACCUUAGGGUACUCUAACAUGCUAAAGAAUUUAAGAUAUAACAUACCUUUUAUUUACUUUUUAUAAUGUUGUUCCCAUUUAAGUUUGAGAGGGUUGCAUUAGAGAAACCGUUAUUUUUCCUUUUUGCUUCUGUCCCAUAGGGUUUGGUUGACUUCCAUAUUGCUGAAAUAAUAGAAAAAAUAAAAUAAAAAGAUGAGCACACUAUUAUACUAAUAAAUCUAAAAAUAAAAAUAAGAAUGAUUUAAAGACCUGCUUGUUUGGUUGUGCCAGAGGAUGAACCAACUUCCAUAUUGUCUCUUAGCAUUCGGCUGACUUCCAAUAGGUCCAAAUUGGAUUUGACCUCCACUCAAUUGCCUUGCUGAAGUAAAAAAGGAUGAUAUAGUAAAUUUAUUUUAUUUAUUAAAUUGGUUGAUAAAUUAAUUUUAUUUUUGUUUGUUAAAAAUUACGUACAAAAACAUGUACAACAAUCACAUACAUAAAACUUUCAACCCCUAAAUUAAGAUAAACUAAUAAAAACUACAAUUACUAAAUAAGCAUUUAAAAGGUUAAUCAAAUCACAAUGACUUGAUGAAUAGGUUGUGCCGAAAGCUGAAUCAGUAUUUGUAUCCUUCAUCAAAAUGAAAAUGUAACGUUAGCAAUCCAUGUCCGAACAUUUAGUGACCUGAAUCAAUAUGAGAAUGAUCACAUUUUAAAUGCUAUUAAAUACCUCUUUAUUGAAUGGGACAACUCUUAUUGUGUCCAAGUUUGUUGAACUAGCUACAUGUCAAAGUGUACCAUUCCUUUCAAGCUAGUCCUUUAUUUCUUCUCUUUCUCUUUUAUUGUUAUGCUUAAGCCUACCAAUUUUAACAUGUUUCACUAGAGAGACAACAGGACAGGCUUGUCAAUUGGAGGCCAAUUACAUCGGUCCAGUAUUGGGCAUAAAGUCUCAUAGUAAGUCCGUAAAUGCACAUCUUUUCGUAGACUCUUAUCAACAAAGUCAACAGUUUCAAGAUGACUACAUGAAAUGUGAUUAGUGUAAAAAAUUAUAUGUUUAUUAAGGGUAAAAAUGUUAUUUUGUACUUAUAAUAUAAUUUACAUUUGUAAUUAUGUAACAUAUUAUGAAUUUCUAAUUAUUUUUCUAAAUAUUUGAUUUUGUGUAUUUUUAUGUGUUUAUUAGGUAAAAAUAAUAAUUUCACGUAAUUUGAGGCUUCAAACAAAUGUACAGAUGUCAAAUUUAGAUUCUGGAAGUCCAAGAAAUUAGGUCAUUGUCGAGAAGGAUCUGCCACUUUUGUGGUAAGUUUAAAAGUUUUUACUGCGGUAAAUGAGGUAAUUGUGAAAUUAUAAGUUUUACUAUGUUAUGUAUUGUAAUUGUUAGUGGAAUGUAUUGAAUGUACUUGAGUAUAUUAAGUUAGGUUUAUAUUUUGUUAGUGGGACAAAUUUAUUGCUAAGAUUUAAUUAGCUUUAUUUAUUUGUGUGGUGUAGAUUAAUCAUGUAUUAGUAUAAAUAGAGAGGGGGGAACACACUUUUCCACACAUUUCCUUCUCUUCUUUUCCCUUAAAUUUUUUUUCUCAUCUCUCUUCGUAAUAU